RNAcentral lists this ribosomal RNA (536 nucleotides) under Halorubrum sp. RNAcentral describes it as "bacterial SSU rRNA". It matches the Rfam family "Archaeal small subunit ribosomal RNA", at positions 349 to 886 of the family's 1478-position model. Lineage: Archaea; Methanobacteriati; Methanobacteriota; Halobacteria; Halobacteriales; Haloferacaceae. The record is from RNAcentral.
CCUACUGCCGACGUGCGAUAGGGGGAUCCCAAGUGCACAGGCAUUAGCGCCCUGUGCUUUUCGGUACCCUAAGGCGGUACCAGAAUAAGGGCUUGGGCAAGACCGGUGCCAGCCGCCGCGGUAAUACCGGCAGCCCAAGUGAUGGCCGAUCUUAUUGGGCCUAAAGCGUCCGUAGCUGGCCACGCAAGUCCAUCGGGAAAUCCACCUGCCCAACAGGUGGACGCCCGGUAGAAACUGCGUGGCUUGGGACCGGAAGGCGCGACGGGUACGUCCGGGGUAGGAGUGAAAUCCCGUAAUCCUGGACGGACCGCCGAUGGCGAAAGCACGUCGCGAGAACGGAUCCGACAGUGAGGGACGAAAGCCAGGGUCUCGAACCGGAUUAGAUACCCGGGUAGUCCUGGCCGUAAACAAUGCCUGCUAGGUGUGGCUCCCACUACGAGUGGGUGCUGUGCCGUAGGGAAGCCGCUAAGCAGGCCGCCUGGGAAGUACGUCCGCAAGGAUGAAACUUAAAGGAAUUGGGGGGGGGAACCACAAGG